GCUACAUUAGUAUAUUCGGCAAGUACGUCGGACUUUCGAUCCGAUAAGCGGGGUUCAAAUCCCCGAUGUAGCA
This 73-nucleotide transfer RNA is filed under the name Methanobrevibacter millerae. RNAcentral describes it as "tRNA_Glu_TTC". It matches the Rfam family "tRNA". Rfam says of the family: Transfer RNA (tRNA) molecules are approximately 80 nucleotides in length. Their secondary structure includes four short double-helical elements and three loops (D, anti-codon, and T loops). The record is from RNAcentral. Lineage: Archaea; Methanobacteriati; Methanobacteriota; Methanobacteria; Methanobacteriales; Methanobacteriaceae.